GAUGAACGCUGGCGGCGUGCCUAAUACAUGCAAGUCGAGCGAACGGACGAGAAGCUUGCUUCUCUGAUGUUAGCGGCGGACGGGUGAGUAAAACGUGGAUAACCUACCUAUAAGACUGGGAUAACUUCGGGAAACCGGAGCUAAUACCGGAUAAUAUUUUGAACCGCAUGGUUCAAAAGUGAAAGACGGUCUUGCUGUCACUUAUAGAUGGAUCCGCGCUGCAUUAGCUAGUUGGUAAGGUAACGGCUUACCAAGGCAACGAUGCAUAGCCGACCUGAGAGGGUGAGCGGCCACACGGUGAGUGAGGCACGGUCCAGACUCCUACGGGGGGCAGCAGUAGGGAAUCUUCCGCAAAGGGCGAAGGCCUGACGGAGCAACGCCGCGUGAGUGAUGAAGGUCUUCGGAUCGUAAAACUCUGUUAUUAGGGAAGAACAUAUGUGUAAGUAACUGUGCACAGCUUGACGGUACCUAAUCAGAAAGCCACGGCUAACUACGUG
This 497-nucleotide ribosomal RNA is filed under the name uncultured bacterium. RNAcentral describes it as "partial 16S ribosomal RNA". It matches the Rfam family "Bacterial small subunit ribosomal RNA", at positions 28 to 507 of the family's 1533-position model. The record is from RNAcentral.